This is a long non-coding RNA of Cygnus olor (mute swan), 741 nucleotides long. RefSeq lists it as uncharacterized. The record is from RefSeq and is a predicted model, not a curated record. The transcript has 4 exons. Lineage: Eukaryota; Metazoa; Chordata; Aves; Anseriformes; Anatidae.
ACACAGUGAACAGCUGUGUGGUGCUUAGCUGCGUGAUGGGUUAAAUCACAACAUCUCCAAAGAUGGAGGUUUCAUGGCCUUUCUGAGUGCUGCACCAUCCUCAUGGUACUUGCACAUAGCUUCCAGAAGGAUUUUUUUUACAUUAUCUUCCUGAGGACUGAGAUAUGGCUGACCACUUCUAGUUUUCUGGAUCUUUUUUCCUGAUUUUCUUGAAGUUGCAGUUAAGGUUUUCUUGGUAUAUUUUAAGUAUACCAAGUAUGAUUCCUAACACAGAGAAUGCUGAGAAUGCUGCAGUGACAAAUACAGUAAGAAAGGCUUAUUUCUGGAGCCUAAUCUCACUGUGGCUGCUGAUGGCACCCAGAACACCCACUAAACCUUCUCCAGGACUGGGGUGCUGUGCAUUAUUACAUGGGUGCAAGAGGUGUUGGGAACACUCCCUCAUCACAGAGUGCCAGUGAUGUACAGGCCCUUGACUAUAGUACAUCUCUUUGAGAUGAAUAGCUUUACUUUAUCCUCCACUCCACAAGCAAGCAGCCAAACAAAUAAUAACUGCCUUGUAUUUUCCUCUCCUCCCUCUUUGAACCCUGCCCCAAGAUCCAUCUGCACUGGCAUUGCUAUAAUGUAACAAAACACAUGAAAAUUAUUUUAUCAAGGAAUACACUUAAACCCAAGUAUGAACAGACUAAACUAUUUAAUUUAAGAGGUACAUGCACUGUUUCAGAGAUGAGAUUUGCAGAGCCA